RNAcentral lists this ribosomal RNA (495 nucleotides) under uncultured bacterium. Its description in RNAcentral is "partial 16S ribosomal RNA". It matches the Rfam family "Bacterial small subunit ribosomal RNA", at positions 28 to 507 of the family's 1533-position model. The record is from RNAcentral.
GACGAACGCUGGCGGCGUGCCUAAUACAUGCAAGUAGAACGCUGAAGGAGGAGCUUGCUUCUCUGGAUGAGUUGCGAACGGGUGAGUAACGCGUAGGUAACCUGCCUGGUAGCGGGGGAUAACUAUUGGAAACGAUAGCUAAUACCGCAUAACAGUAGAUAUCGCAUGAUAUCUACUUGAAAGGUGCAAUUGCAUCACUACCAGAUGGACCUGCGUUGUAUUAGCUAGUUGGUGAGGUAACGGCUCACCAAGGCGACGAUACAUAGCCGACCUGAGAGGGUGAUCGGCCACACUGGGACUGGGACACGGCCCAGACUCCUACGGGAGGCAGCAGUAGGGAAUCUUCGGCAAUGGACGGAAGUCUGACCGAGCAACGCCGCGUGAGUGAAGAAGGUUUUCGGAUCGUAAAGCUCUGUUGUAAGAGAAGAACGAGUGUGAGAGUGGAAAGUUCACACUGUGACGGUAUCUUACCAGAAAGGGACGGCUAACUACGUG